Molecule: ribosomal RNA, 309 nt
Filed under: uncultured bacterium
Lineage: Bacteria
Description: partial 16S ribosomal RNA
Rfam family: Bacterial small subunit ribosomal RNA
Source: RNAcentral
AGAGACAGCAGCAGCCACGGUAAUACGGAGGGUGCGAGCGUUAAUCGGAAUUACUGGGCGUAAAGCGUACGCAGGCGGUUUGUUAAGUCAGAUGUGAAAUCCCCGGGCUUAACCCGGGAACUGCAUUUGAAACUGGCAGGCUAGAGUCCCGUAGAGGGGGGUAGAAUUCCAGGUGUAGCGGUGAAAUGCGUAGAGAUCUGGAGGAAUACCGGUGGCGAAGGCGGCCCCCUGGACGAAGACUGACGCUCAGGUACGAAAGCGUGGGGAGCAAACAGGAUUAGAGACCCCUGUAGUCCCUGUCUCUUAUAC